Long non-coding RNA from Archocentrus centrarchus (flier cichlid), 590 nucleotides. RefSeq lists it as uncharacterized. The transcript has 3 exons. The record is from RefSeq and is a predicted model, not a curated record. Lineage: Eukaryota; Metazoa; Chordata; Actinopteri; Cichliformes; Cichlidae.
UCCAGCCCAAGGCUCUCUAUGAAGACGAGGAAAAACUCCCCCAGAGGCCAGACUGAUGAGGAAGAAACCUCGGGAAAGGCAAUUCAAAGAGAGAUCCCCCUUUGCAGGGACGGCCGGUGGGAUCACACACUGAAAAAAAAAGUGUCCACCAGUUACACUGUAUUUCUGCUGUGCAACCAACUUGGAAGUUCUGGGUCAACCUGUGUUAUCCAUGCAUGUGGAAAUGUAAAGAAUAUGAUCUUCUUCAUAUUCAAGAAGAUCUGAACUUCUAAAACAUUACAAACUUGAUCAUCUCAGAGCACCAUGGCAGACAUGGCACCUGUUUGAUUGCUGAUCGUUUUAAGUGAAGACAACAGUGUGGAGCUGCACAAAGGGAUUCCAAACUCAUUGGAAGAGCUUAUUGAUGAGGUUAAGAAUGCAUGUGGAUUAGAGGGACACAUAAGGCUGCAGUAUAAGGACACCGAUUUUGGAAACAUAUUUGUGAAUCUGACCUCUACAUCUGUGAUUAGGGAUCUUACAAUUCUCAAAGUUGUUCAGUUAGACCCUGAUACCACAACUGUAAGUGGCCUGGACAGUGAUGACUCCUCCGU